AGUGAACGCUGGCGGUAGGCCUAACACAUGCAAGUCGAACGGCAGCACAGUAAGAGUUUGCUCUUACGGGUGGCGAGUGGCGGACGGGUGAGGAAUACAUCGGAAUCUUCUUUUUCGUGGGGGAUAACGGAGGGAAACUUACGCUAAUACCGCAUACGAUCUACGGGUGAAAGCAGUGGAUCUUCGGACCUUUCGCGAUUGAUUGAGCCGAUGUCGGAUUAGCUAGUUGGCGGGGUAAAGGCCCACCAAGGCGACGAUCCGUAGCUGGUCUGAGAGGAUGAUCGGCCACACUGGAACUGAGACACGGUCCAGACUCCUACGGGAGGCAGCAGUGGGGAAUAUUGGACAAUGGGCGAAAGCCUGAUCCAGCCAUACCGCGUGGGUGAAGAAGGCCUUCGGGUUGUAAAGCCCUUUUGUUGGGAAAGAAAAGCAGCAGGUUAAUACCCCGCUGUUCUGACGGUACCCAAAGAAUAAGCACCGGCUAACUUCGUG
This 492-nucleotide ribosomal RNA is filed under the name uncultured bacterium. RNAcentral describes it as "partial 16S ribosomal RNA". It matches the Rfam family "Bacterial small subunit ribosomal RNA", at positions 29 to 507 of the family's 1533-position model. The record is from RNAcentral.